Coffea arabica (coffee) is the source of this 2336-nucleotide non-coding RNA. NCBI's taxonomy places the organism in Eukaryota, Viridiplantae, Streptophyta, Magnoliopsida, Gentianales, Rubiaceae. The record is from RefSeq and is a predicted model, not a curated record.
CCUAAAACAGGAACUUGCAGAGUUGAAGCUGUAAUUUUCUCGUUUUUUCAGUAAUCUGCAAAAAAUGGGAAGCAGAGCUUUCAUGGUUUUGCUAAGUCAUAGAGGAGCAUACAUUAAUCCUUCUGCUAAUGCUGCCCAACUUUUCUUGACUUUCGGGCAAAGCCCAUUUUCUCCUGUGAAGAUAAAAUGUCUUGUAGAACGCAGGAAUCAUAGGACAAGCCACAACUUCUCCACCGCAGCAAACUCUAGCCUUGAGCCCCCUAAUCUUCCUCGUUUGGCUGAAACUGCUCGAAUUUCCCUCACCCCAGAUGAAGUGGAAGAAUUUGCUCCUAAAAUGAAACAAGUGGUAGAUUGGUUUGGGCAACUCCAAGCUAUUGAUCUUGAAAGUAUUGAGCCAGCAAUGCGAGCAGAUACUGAAGAUGACAAUUCACGUGAUGAUUUACCUCAAAUUUUUGAGAAUCGGGAAGCAAUAAUAAAAGCUAUGCCAAGCUAUGAGGAACCUUAUAUCAAAGUUCCAAAGGUCUUGAACAAGGAGUAGAACUCUACUGGGUUGUGGAAUGCACCAAUUAACAAAUUAUGGGUUUGUGUUGGACAGAAUACAUGAUGAAGCUGGACUGAGCUUCUAGUUUCUGACAAGAUAGUGAAACCCGUUCGGCCUCCCCAAUUCAUCUACCUCCCUGAUAUUUGAUGUAUUGGAGUCUGAUCUUCUUCAAAGUUUCAAGAACACUUUCAUGCAAGUCUUUCCUUGGGAGAUUCAGACACACAACUUAAGUCCAGUUCCAUGAUUGAUGAUGGACCUUUCGACUUUUCUGGUAUAGUUGUUCAUUUGGUUUCAACAAGUUAGCAUCUAUAACUUGAAGAAUCUCACUAGGCAUCAAACCUUUAACCCAACCCUUCAGGUUCAAAUACUCACCAAAUAUUUCACAGCAGGGCUAGUAGUAGUAGUGUUGGUUAUUCCUUCAACAUAUCACAGAGACAGGUCCGAGAGUCACUUCUUUCACUGUUGAGUGUUCUCCAUGCAUGAUGCACCCUCAUUUGGUACAAACUUGACAACAAUGCAAACCUUCUUCUCUCCUCAAAACAUAUUCAGUACAGUGGUUGGUUGUACUCUACUUUUUGGUGCAGCAACCCAGUUAAGUGAAAGGACGAUUGCUCAAUUCUAUUCUUCCGUGCAUCUUGCUUUUAGAGAUUUUUUUUUUAUUUUUUGAACAUUAAAUCUAACCAUUAGCUAUCCAUCUUGUUUUCAGGAGAACUUUUUCUUUGAAUUCAAAAUCAAAUUUUUAGCAACAAGGCUAGUUAUUAUGUAUACUUUAUUAUUUCCCUCCAAUCUCAUCAAUAUCUAUACAAUAUCUAUGCUAUAUAUAAAUGGAGAGCAGUAGUAGUUGGUAUAAAUAUUUUCUGUCGUUUUUCAAACUUUCAAUUUUACCCCUACAUUUUUUUUUACCCUAAUCACCUGAUCACAUUUCUUGACACAACCGCUCAUAACUACUCCAAGUAUUGCAACUACUAAAUAAUCUAUUUUUUAAUUGAAGAAAAAAUUACCUAUAAAUUGAAGUCUGUUAAUGAAAAAUUCGUAUAAAAUUUAUUAGUGUAAAAAUAAAAUUCACAAAGUCUAAAUUGCACACACAUUGGGCGUGCCUUAAACAUGACUAUAAAUUUAUCAAUUUUAAUAUUUCACAAUAGCCAGUUUUACAGCAAGUUGACGAAUGCAACGCCAAACAAUAGAAUAAACAAACCUUCAGACUUGGUUCUUUGGAGGUAACUUCAUCCAAACUUUGAGGAUGCUAAUUGGCAUGAAUAGCCGUUACUUGUGCAUUGGCUCGAGUACAACCUCGACUCCAUUUCCAUGGGCUUCACCCUUGUGCUAUGCACUAACAACCCCUACCUGUUUCUGUUGUACUGGCACCUGCGAUUACUGCCAUGAUCAUACUCCAAUCAAGCUACAUCUCUGCACUUUCUGUGUUCUUAAUUUGAUCCAUAGAUAUGCAGCAUGGUACCAACGCUGUUCAAGGAAGUUGUACAGUAUCUUCAAGCGAGCAUGGAAUGAGGCAUGAUCUUACAAGUUACGGUAGGCAAAUAUGUUCACAGGAUUCCUCACCAACAACAAACUGCUCUCAGUGACUAAAUCUCGUCCACCUCAAAGAGUACAGUAGAAAGGCUAUACAUGUACCCGUCAGAUCUUAGAUGAUCCAUGAACUGAUCAAGCAGAUUGUAGAUUGCCCUUGAAUCUUCAUGUCUUUCGUCACUCACCAUGAAUUCAUGUAUAUUGCCACAGAUUUCAAUGGAACUAACUGCAUCAUGCUUUUUGAUACCAUUAUCAUUCAUCAAUUUUCUUA